Molecule: long non-coding RNA, 265 nt
Filed under: Malus domestica (apple)
Lineage: Eukaryota; Viridiplantae; Streptophyta; Magnoliopsida; Rosales; Rosaceae
Description: long non-coding RNA (MDOM_LNC008254)
Source: RNAcentral
UAGUUUUAUUUAAAAGCAUUCAUAGAAUUAUCAAUCAUGAAACAUAAGAUGAGUAAGGAAAGAUCCACUCACCUGGAGUCCGUGCUACAACUUCCUAGCACAACCAUCGGGGCGUUCCGAGCGAUCGGCACCAACUUGGAGUCCAAAUGGUGGCCAGAAAAUGGUCUGAAAGCCUGCUGUCCGCGGGAAAACUGGUAACUUGCCGGAAUUUCUAGGCAACCUUACACGAUGGCUAUCUCACCGUGAUUUGGCCGGAAAACGCCUC